CCUACGGGUGGCAGCAGUGGGGAAUAUUGGGCAAUGGGCGCAAGCCUGACCCAGCAACGCCGCGUGAAGGAAGAAGGCUUUCGGGUUGUAAACUUCUUUUAUCAGGGACGAAGCAAGUGACGGUACCUGAUGAAUAAGCCACGGCUAACUACGUGCCAGCAGCCGCGGGAAUACGUAGGUGGCAAGCGUUAUCCGGAUUUACUGGGUGUAAAGGGCGUGUAGGCGGGAGUGCAAGUCAGAUGUGAAAACUAUGGGCUCAACCCAUAGCCUGCAUUUGAAACUGUACUUCUUGAGUGCUGGAGAGGCAAUCGGAAUUCCGUGUGUAGCGGUGAAAUGCGUAGAUAUACGGAGGAACACCGAUUGCGAAGGCAGCUCACUGGACUGCAACUGACACUGAGGCUCGAAAGUGUGGGUAUCAAACAGGAUUAGAUACCCUAGUAGUC
RNAcentral lists this ribosomal RNA (443 nucleotides) under uncultured bacterium. RNAcentral describes it as "partial 16S ribosomal RNA". It matches the Rfam family "Bacterial small subunit ribosomal RNA", at positions 338 to 795 of the family's 1533-position model. The record is from RNAcentral.